This 1646-nucleotide long non-coding RNA is filed under the name Malus domestica (apple). RNAcentral's name for it is "long non-coding RNA (MDOM_LNC018782)". Lineage: Eukaryota; Viridiplantae; Streptophyta; Magnoliopsida; Rosales; Rosaceae. The record is from RNAcentral.
CAGUUUAUAAAUCCUUCUCGACUACCUUGGAGCUUGUGGUAUAGGAACUAGGUUGUUAUAUUUGUUGAUCUCUUUCUUGUCUCUUAAGGAACCAUUCUUUGAGUUCUAUCCCUCGUUCAUUUGCUCUUAGGCAAAUCACAUUGUAGGAUUACAAUGAACUACCCAACAAAACAACAUUUGUUAGUUGGUUUAUAGAAGCGAUAUCCAAAAGUUAAUUUAAGGAUAUCCCACGAGAUUGUUAUCAAACAAAUAUUGCUUAUUAGCACACAACCCCAAAUCUUAACAUGCUUAAGAUUUGUCUUUCUUUCCAACUACAUCUUAUGGAGUCAUGAAAAAUUUGGAAGAUCUUCUAAUUGACAAUCAUAUUGUUUUAAAAGUAUAUAUCCUAUAUAUGGGUAAUAGAUAACAUCUAACGAACUAAAUCUUAUUUGAGUUCGUUCUUCUCCUUAAUGGAGAAAUUUAUUAUCUUAUGAUGCUUCUUUCCUUGAUAUCUUUCAAGAAAACUAUUCUAAAGUGUUACCAUUCCUUGGAUCAAAUCUAAGGAUGUAAAUACUUUAGACGUCUUACUCAUCAACUUACAUUUCUUGAAUUCUUUGAAACCUUUUGCAAAGUAUUCGGACUUGUGUUUAUUCAAAAUAAACUAUACUCCAACCGAGAGUGAUCUUCGGUGAAUGUCAUAUAACAUGAGUAGUAUUAUGUUGUGGACAAGUGCCACUAACAUCUAAGUGAAUUAACCUCAACAACUUUGUGAUUCUUUCUUCUUUCCAAAAGAAUAAAGAUUCAAACAUUUCACCUCUAUUCAAUUUUAACAAGAAGGUAUUGGAUCCGGAUCUAACGAUCCAAAGCAUCCAUCUAUGACCAACUCGUAAUUUAUGAUUUAGAGGUAUCACAAUUUAGUUGAGAUUAGUCACUACCUUACAACCUUUUGGGUUUUAAGCAUCAUUAUAUUCUAAACAGUUAACACUACCAUAUCAUCUCUACUAUAGAGACAAUCAAUUAGAUUACUAUAAUCCAAUCAUUGAUUAAUAAAGAACAAUGUUUUGUGAAACAAAACAUUCAUCCACCUCUACUAUAGUGACGGAAUUAAGUUCCUUAAAAUUGGAAUGUAAAGACAAUCUUUGGUUUUCCAAUUUCUUUGGUAGUUCAUAUGAGGAAGUAAGUACUAUCUACUUUCGCAGAGAUCUAUAUUUUAUUCACGUUCCGAAUGUGAAGCACCUUUUCUUCUCUCAUAUAUCUUCUACUUCUUAUUAGUCACACUUUUACAACGAUUGUAAAACAUAGUUACUAAUACGGAAUCAAGCAUUCAAGUAGAAGAACCAACUGUUUUGAACUAUUCAAGAACAAUUUACAACACCUUCGAAAGGUGUGUUCUUGACACUUGCAAGACAUUUCUUGCAUAUACCCCUUCCAAUGUCCAUCCUUUCAUAAAGAAAGUUUGUUCCCUUGGAGUUAAUUUUAUCUUCUUUAUUUGACUUCUCCUUUGACUACAAUAGUCAUGGUCCCUAAACUCCCACUAUCUCUCUUGAAACUUAUUUCAAUUGUGUUAUACACAUCAAACGAUUUUGGAGAGUAUGUGUUUAUUGUUCACUACAUAGUUUACAAUAAACUUAGUGAACCAUUAGGAUAGGGACAUAAAGGUGAAGUCC